Molecule: ribosomal RNA, 505 nt
Filed under: uncultured bacterium
Lineage: Bacteria
Description: bacterial SSU rRNA
Rfam family: Bacterial small subunit ribosomal RNA
Source: RNAcentral
ACUCAAAGGAAUUGACGGGGGCUCACACAAGCGGAGGAGCAUGUUGUUCAAUUCGAAGCAACGCGAAAAACCUUACCUGGGUUUGACAUGUGCGAAGUAGGAACCCGAAAGGGCAACGAUCCACGCAAGUGGUAAACGCACACAGGUGCUGCAUGGCUGUCGUCAGCUCGUGUCGUGAGACGUUAGGUUAAGUCCUGUAACGAGCGAAACCCCUGUCGUCUGUUGCCACCAGGUUAUGCUGGGCACUCUGACGAGACUGCCGAUGUCAAAUCGGAGGAAGGUGGGGACGACGUCAAGUCAUCAUGGUCCUUACGCCCAGGGCUACAAACGUGCUACAAUGGUCGGUACAGAGAGACGCAAUACCGCGAGGUGGAGCAAAUCUUCAAAACCGGCCUCAGUUCGGAUUGGAGGCUGAAAUUCGCCUCCAUGAAGCCGGAUUCGCUAGUAAUCGCGGAUCAGAUACGCCGCGGUGAAUAUGUUCUUGAGCCUUGUACACACCGCCCGU